AGAGUUUGAUCCUGGCUCAGGAUGAACGCUAGCGGCAGGCCUAACACAUGCAAGUCGAGGGGCAACAGGUGUAGCAAUACAUGCUGGCGACCGGCGCACGGGUGAGUAACGCGUAUGCAACCUACCCAUAACAAGGGGAUAGCUUCCGGAAACGGGAAUUAAUACCCUAUAGCACCUAUAUACCGCAUGGUAUUAAGGUUAAAACUACGGUGGUUAUGGAUGGGCAUGCGUGCCAUUAGUUAGUUGGCGGGGUAACGGCCCACCAAGACUGUGAUGGCUAGGGGGUCUAAAAGGAUGAUCCCCCACACUGGUACUGAGACACGGACCAGACUCCUACGGGAGGCAGCAGUGAGGAAUAUUGGUCAAUGGGCGAGAGCCUGAACCAGCCAUGCCGCGUGCAGGAAGACGGCCCUAUGGGUUGUAAACUGCUUUUGUUUGGGAAUAAAAGGCGCUACGUGUAGUGCACUGAAGGUACCAGAUGAAUAAGCAUCGGCUAACUCCGUGCCAGCAGCCGCGGUAAUACGGAGGAUGCGGGCGUUAUCCGGAUUUAUUAGGUUUAAAGGGUGUGUAGGCGGAAGACUAAGUCAGUGGUGAAAUCCCUCAGCUUAACUGGGGAACUGCCAUAGAUACUGGUUUUCUUGAGUACAGUUGAAGUAGGCGGAAUGUGUAAUGUAGCGGUGAAAUGCUUAGAUAUUACACAGAACACCGAUUGCGAAGGCAGCUUGCUAAGCUGUUACUGACGCUGAUGCACGAAAGCGUGGGGAGCGAACAGGAUUAGAUACCCUGGUAGUCCACGCCGU
RNAcentral lists this ribosomal RNA (800 nucleotides) under uncultured bacterium. RNAcentral describes it as "bacterial SSU rRNA". It matches the Rfam family "Bacterial small subunit ribosomal RNA", at positions 8 to 803 of the family's 1533-position model. The record is from RNAcentral.